GGUCGAGUGGCGCAAUUGGUUAGCGCGUCGAGCUAAUAGAACUCGGGUCACUCUGGGAUUCGAGCCAAAAACUCGAAGGCUGUGGGUUCGAGACCCAUCUUGACCA
Molecule: transfer RNA, 106 nt
Organism: Calocera cornea HHB12733
Lineage: Eukaryota; Fungi; Basidiomycota; Dacrymycetes; Dacrymycetales; Dacrymycetaceae
Rfam family: tRNA
About the family: Transfer RNA (tRNA) molecules are approximately 80 nucleotides in length.
Source: Rfam